This 450-nucleotide ribosomal RNA is filed under the name uncultured Glomus. RNAcentral describes it as "SSU rRNA". It matches the Rfam family "Eukaryotic small subunit ribosomal RNA", at positions 569 to 1023 of the family's 1831-position model. Lineage: Eukaryota; Fungi; Glomeromycota; Glomeromycetes; Glomerales; Glomeraceae. The record is from RNAcentral.
AGCAGCCGCGGUAAUUCCAGCUCCAAUAGCGUAUAUUAAAGUUGUUGCAGUUAAAAAGCUCGUAGUUGAAUUUCGGGAUCAAUAUUUCGGUCAUGCCGUUGGUAUGCACUGUUAUCAUUGAUUUCUCACCUUCUAAAGAACCGUAAUGCCAUUAAUUUGGUGUUACGGGGAAUUAGGACUGUUACCUUGAAAAAUUAGAGUGUUUAAAGCAGGCUCACGCUUGAAUACAUUAGCAUGGAAUAAUGAAAUAGGACAUCCGAUUCUAUUUUGUUGGUUUCUAGGAUCGAUGUAAUGAUUAAUAGGGAUAGUUGGGGGCAUUAGUAUUCAAUUGUCAGAGGUGAAAUUCUUGAAUUUAUUGAAGACUAACUACUGCGAAAGCAUUUGCCAAGGAUGUUUUCAUUAAUCAAGAACGAAAGUUAGGGGAUCGAAGACGAUCAGAUACCGUCGUAG